GAUGAACGCUGGCGGCGUGCUUAACACAUGCAAGUCGAACGGAGCACCCCUGAAGGAGUUUUCGGACAACUGAAGGGAAUGCUUAGUGGCGGACGGGUGAGUAACGCGUGAGUAACCUGCCUUGGAGUGGGGAAUAACAGUUGGAAACAGCUGCUAAUACCGCAUGAUGCAGUUGAGUCGCAUGGCUCUGACUGCCAAAGAUUUAUCGCUCUGAGAUGGACUCGCGUCUGAUUAGCUAGUUGGCGGGGUAACGGCCCACCAAGGCGACGAUCAGUAGCCGGACUGAGAGGUUGGCCGGCCACAUUGGGACUGAGACACGGCCCAG
RNAcentral lists this ribosomal RNA (325 nucleotides) under uncultured bacterium. Its description in RNAcentral is "bacterial SSU rRNA". It matches the Rfam family "Bacterial small subunit ribosomal RNA", at positions 28 to 334 of the family's 1533-position model. The record is from RNAcentral.